GAUGAACGCUGGCGGCGUGCUUAACACAUGCAAGUCGAACGGAAAGGCCAGUGCUUGCACUGGUACUCGAGUGGCGAACGGGUGAGUAACACGUGGGUGAUCUGCCCUGCACUUCGGGAUAAGCCUGGGAAACUGGGUCUAAUACCGGAUAGGACAAUGGUUUGGAUGCCGUUGUGGAAAGUUUUUUCGGUGUGGGAUGAGCUCGCGGCCUAUCAGCUUGUUGGUGGGGUAAUGGCCUACCAAGGCGUCGACGGGUAGCCGGCCUGAGAGGGUGUACGGCCACAUUGGGACCGAGAUACGGCCCAGACUCCUACGGGAGGCAGCAGUGGGGAAUAUUGCACAAUGGGCGCAAGCCUGAUGCAGCGACGCCGCGUGGGGGAUGACGGCCUUCGGGUUGUAAACUCCUUUCGCUAGGGACGAAGCGUAUUUGUGACGGUACCUGGAGAAGAAGCACCGGCUAACUACGUG
This 468-nucleotide ribosomal RNA is filed under the name uncultured bacterium. Its description in RNAcentral is "partial 16S ribosomal RNA". It matches the Rfam family "Bacterial small subunit ribosomal RNA", at positions 28 to 507 of the family's 1533-position model. The record is from RNAcentral.